GCUGGGUGGGAUGGUGUGCACCUGUAAUCCCAGCUACUCAGGAGGCUGAGGCAGGAGAAUUGCUUGAACCCAGGAGGUUGAGGGUUGCAGUGAGCUGAGAUCACGCCACUGCACUCUAGCCUGGGCAACAGAGCGAGAUUCUGUCUCAA
Molecule: non-coding RNA, 149 nt
Filed under: Chlorocebus sabaeus (green monkey)
Lineage: Eukaryota; Metazoa; Chordata; Mammalia; Primates; Cercopithecidae
Source: Rfam by way of RNAcentral